UGAACUCGGGUAGAUUUUCUGGGGUGUAAAGAAGGUGCAAGAUCAAGAGCCACCUCGGUUCAGUGUGCCUGCGCACCCGAGUGCACUAGAACAAUAAUUUAAGUUGUAGUUGUAGCCGCCUCCCCCGGGCAGCUUUCGAAAGGCUUGAAUUACAACUCUCAGUAUUCCUGGAAGUUGUCACCCGAUACAGCUAGAGGAAAAUAGUCUUGAAAAAGGCAAAACUCAGGAAAGGGCAAACAAAAAACAAAUAAAACACCGUUGCUGUGAUUUUCCCUGCCUUUUGCCUCCCUCCCACCUGCUCUGUUCUUGAACUGGUGCAGGAGCACCGGGAAUUGAGCCAUGGACAUAUUAGCACACACUGGAAAGGAUAUCAUAUAGGAAAAUGAGAAAGUACAGCAAGCAUCAAAAACCUCUUUAGCUUGUUUUGCAUCUGCAUAUCAUAAUCAAUUAUGGAAAAAGAAUAAUCCAACUGUUAAAAACCGUGGUUUUCUGAUUUAUAAAGUAAGCCACAUUCAAUUUUGGAAUCUGAGCUUCAAGUACGGUAUUUCCUAUCCACCUGCCUGGCACUUGCUAUCAGCUCAGUGACAGAUGGAAAGUUAAGCUUUUGGAGUAAAAAAAUUCUCUCCAGAAAGCAUUUGUUUGGCAUCAAGAGGAAUACUCAAAAUCAUGUGCAGAAAAACCAGUGGUUUUAUCUUCUAAGAUAAGUACUUGCAAGAACACUGCCAGAUACAGCAGUUGAAGAACCUGUUUCUGGACAGUAGCAUUAGCAAUGAUUUAUGGGUUUAUGUUAUACCUAUGGCACUUAAAAAUUCUGCGAUAAAUAGGCAGUGGCUUCACAUAUGUCCCUGAUGUGUUAUGUAAUUUAAUAAAUUAUUGCACAUUGUGA
This is a non-coding RNA of Pseudonaja textilis, 886 nucleotides long. The record is from RefSeq and is a predicted model, not a curated record. Lineage: Eukaryota; Metazoa; Chordata; Lepidosauria; Squamata; Elapidae.